This 378-nucleotide ribosomal RNA is filed under the name Frankia sp. RNAcentral's name for it is "bacterial SSU rRNA". It matches the Rfam family "Bacterial small subunit ribosomal RNA", at positions 28 to 416 of the family's 1533-position model. Lineage: Bacteria; Bacillati; Actinomycetota; Actinomycetes; Frankiales; Frankiaceae. The record is from RNAcentral.
GACGAACGCUGGCGGCGUGCUUAACACAUGCAAGUCGAGCGAGGGGCUUCGGCUCCUAGCGGCGAACGGGUGAGUAACACGUGGGCAACCUGCCCCGAGCUCUGGAAUAACUUCGGGAAACCGGGGCUAAUGCCGGAUAUGACACUACUGGGCAUCUGGUGGUGUGGAAAGAUUUAUCGGCUCGGGAUGGGCCCGCGGCCUAUCAGCUUGUUGGUGGGGUGAUGGCCUACCAAGGCGACGACGGGUAGCCGGCCUGAGAGGGCGACCGGCCACACUGGGACUGAGACACGGCCCAGACUCCUACGGGAGGCAGCAGUGGGGAAUAUUGCGCAAUGGGCGAAAGCCUGACGCAGCGACGCCGCGUGGGGGAUGACGGCC